RNAcentral lists this unclassified non-coding RNA (381 nucleotides) under soil metagenome. RNAcentral describes it as "partial contains 5.8S ribosomal RNA, internal transcribed spacer 2, and large subunit ribosomal RNA". The stretch from base 1 to 120 matches the Rfam family "5.8S ribosomal RNA", at positions 35 to 154 of the family's 154-position model. The record is from RNAcentral.
GAUGAAGAACGUAGCGAAAUGCGAUACGUAAUGUGAAUUGCAGAAUUCAGUGAAUCAUCGAAUCUUUGAACGCACCUUGCGCUCCUUGGUAUUCCGAGGAGCAUGCCUGUUUGAGUGUCAUUAAUAUAUCAACCUCUUCAGCUUAUGCUUGUUGAGUGUUGGAUGGUGGGGGUUUGCUGGUGUCUUAUGAAGUCAGCUCCUCUGAAAUGCAUUAGCGGAACAAUUUGUUGACCGUUCAUUGGUGUGAUAAAAAUAUCUACGCUAUUGACGUCAGUCAGUUCAGCUUCUAACAGUCCAUUGACUUGGACAAAUUUUUCAUUAAUGUGACCUCAAAUCAGGUAGGACUACCCGCUGAACUUAAGCAUAUCAAUAAGCGGAGGA